AACGAACGCUGGCGGCAUGCCUAACACAUGCAAGUCGAACGAGACCUUCGGGUCUAGUGGCGCACGGGUGCGUAACGCGUGGGAACCUGCCCUUAGGUUCGGAAUAACUCCCCGAAAGGGGUGCUAAUACCGGAUAAUGUCUUCGGACCAAAGAUUUAUCGCCUUUGGAUGGGCCCGCGUUGGAUUAGCUAGUUGGUAGGGUAAAAGCCUACCAAGGCGACGAUCCAUAGCUGGUCUGAGAGGAUGAUCAGCCACACUGGGACUGAGACACGGCCCAGAAUCCUACGGGAGGCAGCAGUGGGGAAUAGUGGACAAUGGGCGAAAGCAUGAUCCAGCAAUGCCGCGUGAGUGAUGAAGGCCGUAGGGUUGUAAAGCUCUUUUACCCGGGAUGAUAAUGACAGUACCGGGAGAAUAAGCUCCGGCUAACUCCGUG
Molecule: ribosomal RNA, 433 nt
Filed under: uncultured bacterium
Lineage: Bacteria
Description: partial 16S ribosomal RNA
Rfam family: Bacterial small subunit ribosomal RNA
Source: RNAcentral